Molecule: non-coding RNA, 108 nt
Organism: Acanthosepion pharaonis
Lineage: Eukaryota; Metazoa; Mollusca; Cephalopoda; Sepiida; Sepiidae
Source: the annotation of a GenBank genome assembly
GCCAUGUUACUUUGAAAAACUGGUUCCUCUAUGAUCACUGAAGUUAAGCAACAUCGAGCCUGGUUAGUACUAGAUGGGUGACUGCUUGGGAAUGCCAGGUACUGUAAU